Molecule: ribosomal RNA, 589 nt
Filed under: Cystofilobasidium ferigula
Lineage: Eukaryota; Fungi; Basidiomycota; Tremellomycetes; Cystofilobasidiales; Cystofilobasidiaceae
Description: eukaryotic LSU rRNA
Rfam family: Eukaryotic large subunit ribosomal RNA
Source: RNAcentral
UAAGUGGAGGAAAAGAAACUAACAAGGAUUCCCCUAGUAACGGCGAGUGAAGCGGGAAAAGCUCAAAUUUAAAAUCUGGCAGUCUACGAUUGUCCGAAUUGUAAUCUCGAGAAGUGUUUUCCGCGUUGGCCUGUGCACAAGUCCCUUGGAACAGGGCGUCAUAGAGGGUGAGAAUCCCGUCCUUGGCACAGACACCCAAUGCUUUGUGAUACACUCUCAAUGAGUCGAGUUGUUUGGGAAUGCAGCUCAAAAUGGGAGGUAAAUUCCUUCUAAAGCUAAAUACUGGCGAGAGACCGAUAGCGAACAAGUACCAGUGAGGGAAAGAUGAAAAGCACUUUGGAAAGAGAGUCAAACAGUACGUGAAAUUGUUGAAAGGGAAACGAUCAAAGUCAGUAGGGCUAGCCUGGAUCCAACCUUAUGGUGUAUCUCCAGGUUGGCAGGUCAGCAUCAGCAGGGAGGGUUAACAAGGCAGUUAGGAAUGUGGCAACCUCGGUUGUGUCCAGCCUAGCUUCGCAUUGAUCCUGAAGGCUGAGGAACGCAGCCUCCCGCCAGGCUGGUCCCGGACUCAUCGCACAUACGAUGCUGCAAG